GAUGAACGCUAGCUACAGGCUUAACACAUGCAAGUCGAGGGGAAACGACAUCGAAAGCUUGCUUUUGAUGGGCGUCGACCGGCGCACGGGUGAGUAACGCGUAUCCAACCUGCCCAUCACUUGGGAAUAACCUUGCGAAAGUAAGACUAAUACCCAAUGACAUCCCACGAAGACAUCUGAAUGGGAUUAAAGAUUUAUCGGUGAUGGAUGGGGAUGCGUCUGAUUAGCUUGUUGGCGGGGUAACGGCCCACCAAGGCAACGAUCAGUAGGGGUUCUGAGAGGAAGGUCCCCCACAUUGGAACUGAGACACGGUCCAAACUCCUACGGGAGGCAGCAGUGAGGAAUAUUGGUCAAUGGGCGAGAGCCUGAACCAGCCAAGUAGCGUGCAGGAUGGCGGCCCUAUGGGUUGUAAACUGCUUUUAUAAGGGAAUAAAGUGGGUCUCGUGAGACUUUUUGCAUGUACCUUAUGAAUAAGGACCGGCUAAUUCCGUG
RNAcentral lists this ribosomal RNA (492 nucleotides) under uncultured bacterium. Its description in RNAcentral is "partial 16S ribosomal RNA". It matches the Rfam family "Bacterial small subunit ribosomal RNA", at positions 28 to 507 of the family's 1533-position model. The record is from RNAcentral.